CAGUCGCCGCGGGAAUACAGAGGGUGCGAGCGUUAAUCGGAUUUACUGGGCGUAAAGCGUGCGUAGGCGGCUUUUUAAGUCGGAUGUGAAAUCCCUGAGCUUAACUUAGGAAUUGCAUUCGAUACUGGGAAGCUAGAGUAUGGGAGAGGAUGGUAGAAUUCCAGGUGUAGCGGUGAAAUGCGUAGAGAUCUGGAGGAAUACCGAUGGCGAAGGCAGCCAUCUGGCCUAAUACUGACGCUGAGGUACGAAAGCAUGGGGAGCAAACAGGACUAGAUACCCCUGUAGUCCCUGUCUCUUAUAC
Molecule: ribosomal RNA, 301 nt
Filed under: uncultured bacterium
Lineage: Bacteria
Description: partial 16S ribosomal RNA
Rfam family: Bacterial small subunit ribosomal RNA
Source: RNAcentral